This 281-nucleotide ribosomal RNA is filed under the name uncultured bacterium. RNAcentral describes it as "partial 16S ribosomal RNA". It matches the Rfam family "Bacterial small subunit ribosomal RNA", at positions 123 to 406 of the family's 1533-position model. The record is from RNAcentral.
AACGUGUCCUAUUGUGGGGGAUAACCAGUCGAAAGACUGGCUAAUACCGCAUGAGAUCGAGAGAUGAAAGCAGGGGACCGCAAGGCCUUGCGCGAUUGGAGCGGCCGAUGUCGGAUUAGCUAGUUGGUGGGGUAAAAGCCCACCAAGGCGACGAUCCGUAGCUGGUUUGAGAGAACGACCAGCCACACUGGGACUGAGACACGGCCCAGACUCCUACGGGAGGCAGCAGUGGGGAAUUUUGGACAAUGGGGGCAACCCUGAUCCAGCCAUGCCGCGUGUGU